Molecule: non-coding RNA, 77 nt
Organism: Cinara cedri
Lineage: Eukaryota; Metazoa; Arthropoda; Insecta; Hemiptera; Aphididae
Source: the annotation of a GenBank genome assembly
AUUAAUUUAUGAUGAAUAUUAUCAGUUAUCCCUGUCAGAUGUUUCCAUGUUGAUAACUCUUUUUAACUGAAAUAUAU